Molecule: ribosomal RNA, 440 nt
Filed under: uncultured bacterium
Lineage: Bacteria
Description: partial 16S ribosomal RNA
Rfam family: Bacterial small subunit ribosomal RNA
Source: RNAcentral
CCUACGGGAGGCAGCAGUGGGGAAUAUUGGACAAUGGGGGGAACCCUGAUCCAGCGACGCCGCGUGAGUGAAGAAGUAUUUCGGUAUGUAAAGCUCUAUCAGCAGGGAAGAAAAUGACGGUACCUGACUAAGAAGCCCCGGCUAACUACGUGCCAGCAGCCGCGGGAAUACGUAGGGGGCAAGCGUUAUACGGAUUUACUGGGUGUAAAGGGAGCGUAGACGGUGCAGCAAGUCUGAUGUGAAAGGUCGGGGCCCAACCCCGGGACUGCAGUGGAAACUGUUGAACUGGAGUGCAGGAGAGGUAAGCGGAAUUCCUGGUGUAGCGGUGAAAUGCGUAGAUAUUAGGAGGAACACCAGUGGCGAAGGCGGCUUACUGGACUGUAACUGACGUUGAGGCUCGAAAGCGUGGGGAGCAAACAGGAUUAGAUACCCGAGUAGUC